Vespa velutina is the source of this 4633-nucleotide long non-coding RNA. RefSeq lists it as uncharacterized. Lineage: Eukaryota; Metazoa; Arthropoda; Insecta; Hymenoptera; Vespidae. The transcript is spliced from 3 exons. The record is from RefSeq and is a predicted model, not a curated record.
GCCCUCCUUCACAGAGAAGCGGACCGAGAAAGGGGGGAACCGUUUCAAGGAACGAUGCAUUUUGGAUAAAAUUAGCACACUUGCAUCGCCGUAUGUAUACCCUUCAUGUUUCUAAGUCAACCAUCUACCCUGGUAGAGAAUUGGAUUCGUAAAAGAGCCUAAUAAGAACGAGUCUCUUUGGACUCGUGAGAAUAAGACAGGCUAACCAGGCAGGCGCAAACUCAUUCGUUCAUUAGUUGAAUGAUAUAACGAUGACGUAGGAGAUAUCGUGACAAGAGGAGUUGAAAGUAAAUAGUAUACGUGCAUUGGAUAGAAAAAGUUCAAAUUGAUUCUUUUUCACGUACGGUACUUCCUCUUUUUUUCUUUCUUUAAGUUUAACUUCCGCCGGGAGAUCUACGGACGAUGGAUAUUGAGAAAAUGAUAAUAAAGAACAUACAUCGAUCUCAGCGCUACGAGAGUGGAAUGGGAAAGCUUUGCUUUACGUACAUAAAAGAGGUGGUGGUAAACAGAAGUGGAAGAGGUAUUAGCGAAGAGAGGUGAUGGUCAAAAGGAGGGAAGGGGAGAUUUUGCCUUCCAGGAAAAUGCCCAUGACCGUCUAGGCUUACCGAGUAAUGGUAGAGUCAUUAAGGUUUACCAAUUUUACGAUGGUACGUAAGACGAGUUUCUUUCGUUAUUUCAUUCUCUUUACAAUAGAGAGGUAACCUUUAGUCGGUGGAAAUUGCGGGACUUCUUGGAAAUCAGGAUACCAGAGGAAGAGAGGGAGAGAGGGGGAGGGGGUGGAGAGAGAGAGAGAGAGAGAGAGAGAGAUCACGAAAUGCUCGCAUGAAACACGGAUUUCUCGGCGUAUGCGCCGCGAAAUGAGAUCAUGUUGUUUUUGUGGCAUGGAGUCGACGGUUAAUACGUUUAGCUACGCGUCCGCGCGGUUGCCAUGCUUCUCUACGUCUUGCGCGUAGGCCAACUCGCGAGGCGAUGACGCAAGCUGCGCGUUGGCACGUAUACAUACUUCUUCGACGAAAGAGAGAAGCGACAAGAGGACACGACGGACGAACGAACGAACGGAGCUGGCUAGCUAGCUAGCUAGCUAGCUAGCGAUCGACGUGACUUGGAAUGGACGGAGAGAAGAGAGAGGGAGGUAGAGGUAAUUCCCAACAUAAAAGUACCUUGCCGUCUUCCAAGAAUUUUGACGGUUAGAUCGGAGUCAGGCUCUCCGAAGGCUUCCGGCCUUCCGAUCGACGGCCAUGAGAGAGAGGAACACACCUGCUUCGUCGUUCGAUCCGACCUUCGUACCGCAACGACUCAUCGUUUUGGCAUUCGGCGGCGAUCGGAUUCUCGAGCGAUGAUUACGAUCUUUUCACGCGCCACGGAGAAUUUCAUCAUCAUUUCGGAUAAUCGGAUAGAUAUCGCGGAAAGAAUGCUUUCUUAUUUUUUACUUGAUGCAUUUUUCGUUCUCAUGUAAAUUGUAAUCUAAAUUCUGUUAAAUAAUAGAGUUGUUGAACGAAGAGAAAGGAUAGAUAGAGAAAGGAAGGAGAUAGAGAGCGAGAGAGAAAGAGUAGAUUGAUGCGACGGACGUGGCGCAGCAGCAACGGCAGCAACAGCAGCAGCAGCAGCAGCAGCAACAGCAGCAGCAGCAGCAGCAGCAGCAGCAGCUAAGUCAGACCGGCAGUCGCCUAGCGCGCCACGACGGCUGGCACGGCUCGUCGGAUUUGUCCUUGGGAUCGAGAAGGUAGGCACAGCCCAAGGAAAGAGAUGUGGCAACGUGGCAGGCAGCAGGCAGAGCUCCCCCUCCUUUGUCCGUCGUCGGCCGGUCUUGCCAGACAGGGUGUCGCCAGCUCGGUCGGCCCGGUCGGCCGGGUUUGUGCGAGGGAGAGAGGAGAUCGACGGGUGAAAGGAGGAAAGGGGCAGGGGUACAGGCUGUGGCAGCAGGAGGUGGAGGAGGAGGGGGGGUUCCGGUAUGUGUGCUGCUAGUCGCGGGAAGGGCAAAGCGAAUCGUGCUCGUAGAGCGGAGAAGAGAGUCCGGGGAUGGAUGAGAAGGAAAGAGAGAGAGAGAGAGAGAGGGAGAGAGAGAACUCCGCUCUCUGCGUAUCGUAGGAUCGGUCGUGGACCUACAUUCACGCGGGUAGCCAUGUUUGAAAACUCGCGUCCCGCUGGAAUGUGCCUAAGGGGGCCCCUACCCCUCUCUCUUUUUCCUUCCUUCGCCAUUCUACGGUCCCGUCGACGAUCUUCCGAUGCCUUUUGCUUUCCCCUCCAUACAAGAGUUGGCGCCCCAAAUGGUCGCGUAACCAGAGACGUGCCUCUGGCCUGCCCUGGUCGCGCCAGACUUCUCGGCGCCCAAAUGAUGUACGCCGACCAUUCCCUCUCUUUCUCUCUCUCUUUUUCUCUUUUUCUUUCUUCCUCCUACUCAUUCUAUUCGUCUCGUUCCCAUUGCUUUCCUUUUUCUUCCAGCAUACGUACAUAUACUUAUACACCUUCCAAUGAAGUCCAAAGAACCGAACACACAUUGUUUAACUUUUUGGCACCUUCAAUACGGGAAUCUUCUUUUAUAAUACCAAAGUCGAAGUCCUUUGAAAGAGAACACGUUGGUGUUUCGGCUGUCCCGUAACACAUUGUACGAGAAAGGACAGAGGGUACAUAGUCAAGGUUCGUAAAAGUUCUUGAGAAGACGAGACCGAUUGGCCGUCAGAAAGAGACGUACCGCUUUGUUAACAUAAGAGAGGACGAUGGCGAUGACGAAUUGAAUUUUGUCUCAGAUCGCAGUUCUUUCUGAAUUUUACGACAAGCUUCUGUGCUUACUCGCCUCUCUGCUUUUGCAUUUCUGGUUUAAGUUGAAAUGAAUUUUCUAACGAAGUCUCGAACUUCGCGUUGCUCUUUGCGCCGGACUUUGAAAAGACUCCGCUAUCAGCUCAUACGAGACUUCUUAUCUCAAGUUUCCUUUGAAGAAAAAAAACAAAAAAAAAGAAAAAGAAGAAAAUAAAAAAAAAAAAAAUCAUUGCUCGAGAAACGAUGAGUCUGUCCUUCGUAACCGCACGUACCGUACGGUUAUUGUACGUAUGUCGUUCGGUAGAUUACAUCAGUAGCUUGUUAGCUCGAUAACUAGUUAAAAUAAAACUAAUAAGAGUAAUAAUAAUCCAUUCGUUCAAUGAAGAGAAAGAGAGAAAGAGAAAGAGUCAAUGUUCUCGUUAACGACAUGGUAGAUCCGUUCGAAUGUUCUCCUUAAAUGUUUCCAUUUACUUAUCCAAUAAUUAGAUAUGAUAGUUGCGAAAGAUGAUAAUACGCAUCGUACGCGUAUUUUCUUUUCGAUAGGGUGAAAAGUGAGUUUUUGCUUGGCUGCUCUUUCAAAUCGCAAACUCGAGUUUAUACUUUAGUUUAUUUAUGUGCACGCCGCCGACUGGGAGAGCGCCACACGUGCAACCACGUACACAUAUGCGUCUCGCAUAUUCCGUUGUGUUCGUACGUUUAUCGGUGUGGCGCGUUUACGACAUUCGUGCGUAGUAGUGCGUAUUUUCCCACACAUUCAUGAAUCAAGUAAGUAUGUAUGCGCGCGUAUGGUGUCGAACCUAAUCGCGCUUAUACCCAGGGACGCACGCACGCAUCGGUCAUAUUAUAUAUCUCUCACGAAAAUUUAUAUAUCGUGAUAUAAACAAGCUCAUAAUGAUAUAAUAAAUAAGCUAAGUUAAAGGAAAUCUCGUCGUUUUAUAUAGAAAGAAUGAGAAGAGGUAGAGGGGAAGGAGGAGGAAAAAGAAAAAUAGAAAAAAAAAAGAAAAAAAAGCUUAAGGAUAGUUUACAAGUCACGAUGGACGCGAAGAAAGAGAAAUGCCCGGGUGACGUACAUAGCUGGCAUAUACUACGAUAUUUUGAUGACUUUCUCUGUAAAGAAACUAACCGAUGUUCGUAUGCAAAUAAGAGAGAGACAGAGAGAGAGAGAGAGAGAGAGAGAGAAAAGAAACGUUACGAGGAUCUAUUCAAAACUAUCGAUCGAUAAUCAUUAGUUUGACCUUGAAAUUCAAACACAAUUUGUAUUUCAUACGUAUCAGUAAUAAUAUUAUUUAUAGAUAUAAUAAAAUUUUCAUAAGGUCAAUUAAGAUCAACCUGACUUCUCUAUCGUGUCGACUUGCUUUCUCUUUUAAGAUCUCGUCUCGUAACGAAUAGUAGAAGAAAGAGACGAGGAACGCAAAUACAUUUAGAAUUCGUUUAGAUAGACAGAGAGAGAAAGAGAGAAAGAGAACGUCGUAUAGUCUAUCGUCCAACAUUCCUACAUUACCGAUACGUAAUUUCGUAAAGAGCCUUGAUGCGUCCCUGAUCGGGUGGUUCGCGUAGGUUAAGCGUCACACUUGGCCGCACCGCUCGUUUGCCUACGUACGAACACAGAAAUACACCUUCUCCGUGGGCGGUCGCACGAUGGCGCCUACUCGCGCAUACCUGAACACACCGAGUGAGUGAGAGAAAUAGAGUGAAAGAGAGGGAGGGAGAGAGAGAGAGAGAAAGAGAGAGCUUAAGAAACCUUUCCGUUAAGAGAACGUUUCUCUUCUUUUAUUACUCACGCACGAUCUCGUACGUGUGUUCGGCUCAUCUUCUUCUUCCCUUUCAUCUUCUUCCGCGAUAACACGUGGAAGAACCAAUGGAAAUAAUAUAACAA